Long non-coding RNA from Pistacia vera, 609 nucleotides. RefSeq lists it as uncharacterized. Lineage: Eukaryota; Viridiplantae; Streptophyta; Magnoliopsida; Sapindales; Anacardiaceae. The transcript is spliced from 5 exons. The record is from RefSeq and is a predicted model, not a curated record.
CUAAAUUUUCUCUCUUCCUCCCUAGAUUUUUGCAGAUGACAUUAUAAUUUUAGUAUUGGUCUUAUGCCAUGCCCAAACCCUGCCUUUUGUUUUUUCCUAGGGAUUACAUUUCUCUGGUUUUUGUGUGAAGAGUUUUUCCAGUCACCGCAUACCUCGCUAAGAAAGCUCUCCUUGGGUUUUGUAAAUCAAUACAUCAUGCUGAUGCCUUCUGCUUUAUUUACAUCCAUGGAUCAGUACCUUCAGAGUUUGUUUAUUCUUGCUAAUGACCCUGCUACAGAAGUCCGAAAAUUGGUUUGUGCAGCAUUUGUUCAGCUAAUUGAAGUCCGUCUAUCUUUCUUGGAGCCACAUCUAAGGAAUGUAAUUGAAUACAUGCCAUAAGUCAACAAGGAUGUUGACGAUGAAGUGGCUCUUGAAGCUUGUGAAUUCUGGUUUUGCUUUCAAAUAUGGUCUAUGCUGAUGAUGAUGAGUCACUUCUUGAAGCCGAGGCUGACUUUUCUGUUCAAUUUGUCUUUGAAUGAUUUUGAAUAUUGUAUUGCAUAAUUUAUGUGGAUCAAUUUAUUGUUGCUAAAGGAUGAGUCUCUCCCAGGCAGGGACCAGGUUUAUACUUUA